CUGAAUGCAGAAAGUAGCCAGUCCUCUCUCAUUUUAUCCCCCCAUAAAAGUUAUUUCUCUUUGAAUAAAUUCCUUUCCUUGUGAAUCUGAGAAUCAGCAUCUCUAAUUUCUAAAAAUUAUACCAUGUUUCUAUCUAUAUCAUACUGAGUUAUUUGUCUUAAAGAAAAUGAGCUCAUUAAAAUGUUUUAACCAUGGAUAAAGAUGGUAUUCUCUAUUUAAUGAGGAAUUUUAUUUCCUCUCAAUGCUUUAGUUUUUCUUUUUCUCUGUU
This 268-nucleotide long non-coding RNA is filed under the name Bos taurus (domestic cattle). RNAcentral describes it as "long non-coding RNA NONBTAT022949". Lineage: Eukaryota; Metazoa; Chordata; Mammalia; Artiodactyla; Bovidae. The record is from RNAcentral.